This 247-nucleotide ribosomal RNA is filed under the name uncultured bacterium. RNAcentral's name for it is "partial 16S ribosomal RNA". It matches the Rfam family "Bacterial small subunit ribosomal RNA", at positions 523 to 769 of the family's 1533-position model. The record is from RNAcentral.
AUACGGGGGGUGCAAGCGUUGUUCGGAAUUAUUGGGCGUAAAGCGCGUGUAGGCGGUCUGAUUAGUCUGAUGUGAAAGCCCUGGGCUCAACCCAGGAAGUGCAUUGGAUACUGUCAGACUUGAAUACGGGAGAGGGUAGUGGAAUUCCUAGUGUAGGAGUGAAAUCCGUAGAUAUUAGGAGGAACACCGGUGGCGAAGGCGGCUACCUGGACCGAUAUUGACGCUGAGACGCGAAAGCGUGGGUAGC